AAAACGGAGAGUUUGAUCCUGGCUCAGGAUGAACGCUGGCGGUAUGCUUAACACAUGCAAGUCGAACGGGAUGCUUAGGCAUCUAGUGGCGGACGGGUGAGUAACGCGUGAGAAUCUGGCUCCAGGUCGGGGAUAACAGUUGGAAACGACUGCUAAUACCGGAUGUGCCGAGAGGUGAAAGAUUUAUUGCCUGGAGAUGAGCUCGCGUCUGAUUAGCUAGUUGGUGGUGUAAGGGACCACCAAGGCGUCGAUCAGUAGCUGGUCUGAGAGGAUGAUCAGCCACACUGGGACUGAGACACGGCCCAGACUCCUACGGGAGGCAGCAGUGGGGAAUUUUCCGCAAUGGGCGAAAGCCUGACGGAGCAAUACCGCGUGAGGGAGGAAGGCUCUUGGGUCGUAAACCUCUUUUCUCAAGGAAGAAGAAAGUGACGGUACUUGAGGAAUAAGCAUCGGCUAACUCCGUGCCAGCAGCCGCGGUAAUACGGAGGAUGCAAGCGUUAUCCGGAAUGAUUGGGCGUAAAGGGUCUGCAGGUGGAACUGAAAGUCUGCUGUUAAAGAGUUUGGCUUAACCAAAUAAAAGCGGUGGAAACUACAGAACUAGAGUGCGGUAGGGGCAAAAGGAAUUCCUGGUGUAGCGGUGAAAUGCGUAGAUAUCAGGAAGAACACCGGUGGCGAAAGCGUUUUGCUAGACCGUAACUGACACUGAGGGACGAAAGCUAGGGGAGCGAAUGGGAUUAGAUACCCCAGUAGUCCUAGCCGUAAACGAUGGAUACUAGGCGUGGCUUGUAUCGACCCGAGCCGUGCCGGAGCUAACGCGUUAAGUAUCCCGCCUGGGGAGUACGCACGCAAGUGUGAAACUCAAAGGAAUUGACGGGGGCCCGCACAAGCGGUGGAGUAUGUGGUUUAAUUCGAUGCAACGCGAAGAACCUUACCAAGACUUGACAUCCUGCGAAUCCUGGUGAAAGCUGGGAGUGCCUUAGGGAGCGCAGAGACAGGUGGUGCAUGGCUGUCGUCAGCUCGUGUCGUGAGAUGUUGGGUUAAGUCCCGCAACGAGCGCAACCCUCGUUUUUAGUUGCCAGCAUUAAGUUGGGCACUCUAGAGAGACUGCCGGUGACAAACCGGAGGAAGGUGAGGAUGACGUCAAGUCAGCAUGCCCCUUACGUCUUGGGCUACACACGUACUACAAUGCUACGGACAGAGGGCAGCGAGCCAGGGAUGGCAAGCGAAUCCAGAAACCGUAGCUCAGUUCAGAUCGAAGGCUGCAACUCGCCUUCGUGAAGGAGGAAUCGCUAGUAAUUGCAGGUCAGCAUACUGCAGUGAAUUCGUUCCCGGGCCUUGUACACACCGCCCGUCACACCAUGGAAGUUGGUCACGCCCGAAGUCAUUACCCCAACCGAAAGGAGGGGGAUGCCUAAGGUAGGACUGGUGACUGGGGUGAAGUCGUAACAAGGUAGCCGUACCGGAAGGUGUGGCUGGAUCACCUCCUUU
This 1488-nucleotide ribosomal RNA is filed under the name Cylindrospermopsis raciborskii Cr2010. RNAcentral's name for it is "bacterial SSU rRNA". It matches the Rfam family "Bacterial small subunit ribosomal RNA". The record is from RNAcentral. Lineage: Bacteria; Bacillati; Cyanobacteriota; Cyanophyceae; Nostocales; Aphanizomenonaceae.